UCCCUUCCUUCCUCGCCUCGCCUGGAUCCCCUUUUCCUUCGUUGGCGGCGGCUGGUUCUUCUGCUUCCUCCGCCGGCCGCUGCUUCUUCUGCUCCCUCCGCCGGCCGCUGCUUCUUCUGCUUCCUGCGCCGGUCGCUGCUUCUUCGGCUUCCUCCGCCGGCCGCUGCUUCUUCGGCUUCCUCCGCUGGGAUCCUACUCCGCAAGAGACUGCGGCCCUCGUUUUCUGUGUCUCGUGGGCUAGGGUUCAGCCAAGCUGUGCCUCUGCUAGGGUUCCCUCAAGCUCGGCGUCGUCCAGGUCCCGGUGAAGCUCGGCAUCAACAAGGUAACGCGCCCAAUCCCCCCACCCCCCGUUGUGUUCCUUGCUCCCUGUGUGAUACUGCGCGAUCUAGCCGUUUUUUUUUCAUUUAGCGUUUGGUGAAGUGUUGCUAGGGUUUUGUAGGGGGCUUUGGUCGUAGUGGUGGUGUUUUGGAUGUUCUGGAGAUUAGACAAGGGGGUUGUGUUCAGAGAUCUGGAUUAGGGGGUAUGAUUCAGCAUGAUGAUGUUAGGGGGUUGUAUUCAGAGAUUUGGAUUCAGGGGGUAUGAUUUUCAGCGUGAUGUUGUUAGGGGGUUAUGUGUUCUGGUACUUGUCCUUGAGAUUUUAUGUUUUGUUUUGUUGAUGAUGGUAGGUGCUUUGUGUAGCAUGGUCGUCUCUGUGUGUUUUCUGAAUUUUGUAGUAGCAUCUGAAGAUGACAUGGAAUUUUUUUUCACAUAUGCUUGUGUAACUAUUUAAUAGUACUGUUUCUGUGUUGGAUGAUAUUUUGACAAACCAAUUUUUUGAUUCCACUAAGAUUUUGUGCAACUAAAGUGAAGGUUCUUCAUAUUUGUGGUUCCCUCAGUUUGUUGAUUUCUUAAUCAGGCUGGAAAAUAAUUUGCCUACAUUUGCACCAUCCAAGAAAUUGUCCCUUAAAUGAUCCCCCCUCUCAUUAAUCUGGCAGCGUUGUGAUGCAUAAUCGUUUUUCUGCUGUAGGACUGAUAGACAUUUGAUAUGUGCCUAUGCAGAAAAAAGUAUUUUGUAAUUGAUAAGCAAACAUGGAAAUCUGUUUUAACUGCUUGACUGAACGCAUUCAACUGUUGGGUCACGUGUUUUAUACUUUUAUUGAUUCCACACCUAUCCUUGUCGAUUAAUUCAUAGAUGCAUCCACAAAACCCUAGCCUAGCCUAGCGUAGUGAGUGGGAAAAGCGACUUUCAGGGUUCCGGCGCGUGGGGUGUGGGGAAACGAAAUGAACGCGAACGGUAGGAAUAGGUGGAACCAACAAUCAGUGCCUACUUUUAUUGUUUGUUUGCUGUGAAGUUAUAUGUCAUUUCUUUGUUAAUCUAAUUCUUACUACAGGGGCUACUUUUUAUUUGUGCCCUUUUUUUGCCUGAGAGUGAUGUUAUGAGGAAUUGAAUAAGUAAUAGCUAAUAAUAUAAAUGCAUCCCCUGGGGUAAUAGUGCUUGCUGUUUUUGAGGUUGUUGAACUUGUGGCAUUUUUUUAUACAUUGAUUCCUGUUAAUUCACUGCUUUUAUAUUUGAUUGGAGAAUCACUGUUCUUUUAUUUUUCACAAUAAACCAUGAAAUAAGAUAUGAAUAAGAUUUGCUUAAAUGACAGUUUGAGAAUAACUUUUGUGUGCUACCCUUUUUUCACAUAUGGAUGGUUCUCAUGCUAGUUUUGUUAUUUUAGACGACUGUUAUUACGUGAUGAGAUAUAUAUUUCAUAUAGGUUGUGGUUGUGGUUUUUCAUAUAUGAUGUAAACCCCGUAAUGCAAGAUGAAACUUGCAAGAUGUGGUACUUUUUAGGUUGAUGUUUUUUAACAUUUUUAUCUGCUUUUUGCUCUUUUUAUUUAUUUUUUCAAAUGUGUUUACAUGUUUUUAAUAUACUUUCUUCUGUGUGUUUAAUUAGUCUUUGUUUCAUGACCUAAGUUUUUUUAAUUAUUAUACAGGUCUCCCUCAACUCUAAACAUGCCUAGACUUUACAAAUAUCUUGCUGGUACCAUCAAGCACAGGUUUUCUACCAUCAGGUGGCAUAAAGCAGUUUCUGAUUUAAGUGAUAAUCAAAAGUCGUUUGUUAGGAAAUAUGAGCUCGAUAAUCUUCUGAAUAUUCAUCCUCACUUAAUGGUUCCAAUACCAAUCCUUCAAUGGGUUGCGGACCACCUGAAUUGCAAUGGGACUGGAGUUUUCAGAAAGGGUGAUAAAAUAAUUCAUCUAAGAAGAGACAUGGUAAUUCAGGUUUUUGGGAUCCGUUCUGGUUCUGUGCCUUUUCUUCUGGAUAGCACAGAUCCAGUUGUUGUGGCUAGAGUGUUACAACUUAGGUCUCAGUAUCUCGGUAAUGGCCAGAAGAACAUUCAAUUUGAUAAUAUCAUCACUAUCAUGAAGAAUGACGAGACCGAGGAAGGUUUCAUGCGGAGUUUCUUAUUUCUCUUCAUAAGUUCUGUUUUCUGUCCAACCACUCGGAAUUGUGCAAAUUGGAAAAUUCUUUAUGGGCUGCACGACAUUAGCAAGCUGAAGACCUUUGAUUUGGGUCAACUUUGCAUUGAUCACUUGAACAAAGAAAUUGAUAACUUCAGCACCAAUCUAUUCAAUAGAACUGAAAAUCCAUUGAACAAUUCAAUCUAUGUUGGUGGAUGCUUACCUUUAGCUGCUGUAAGUUUUAUAAUUUUCCCUACUUUUCAUUUUUUAAAUGUAUUGUUAAGUUAUGCAAUUUUUGUUUAUAUUCACUGAUUUGUUGUUUCAUGUUCUCUUAUGACUCCCAAUAUUCUUAGAUUGUCUAUCUAGACUUUGUGGACUUCACAAAAGCUUCUCAACAACGAAGUACCAAUUAUGGAGUCCCUAGAAUGGCCUAUAUUCAGAAUGACGACUUUGACUAUCUAGGUACAGUGGACUUAAACCCAAGAUCCAAGAAGACGUUUGGAUUAGGAUUCUUACCAGUAAGCUUGUUCUAUCCUCUUUUUUUCGCAUUUGUUUAACUGACGACAAAAGUUGCAGAAAAUAGUUUCAAACAAUAAUGAGAAAAUGUUUUCAUUCUUAAUUCUUUGGAAUGACAGUUUUCUUGGUUUCAUGCUCUUGCUUUAAGAACUUUCAGAACUGUUUGUUGACUUUGUUUUUUCUUUUCAGCUGAAAUACAUUUCUAGGACACCUUACGGUGCUCGUGCAAUUGUAUUGGCUCAAGAGAAGUGGUCCAAAUCCCCACAGAGUUAUGAUGUUGAGGAAAAUCUCAUUCCAAAGUCCAAUGACAUCUCAAAUGUUGCAUCUACCUCGAACAGUAAUCCAGAAGUUAUGAAUAUAAUAUCUCAAGUUGUUGCAAAUCAUGAUGAAAUUUGGAAGAAGCUUCAUGAACAGCAUAUGCAAAAUAUGUUUUCAGAUCUCAAAACAACUCUCAUGUCUCUUCAGCCAAAUACAAACAGCCAAGUAAACAUUGCUGGUACUUCAACCAUGAAUCCUAUUGUUCUUUCAGCACGCAGCAACAUGAAUAACCAGAAUGAACCAAUAAAUGCCAACCAUCGCCCAGUCCAGAUAGUCAGUGAGCCAAUUAGAGCAUCUUUAUUGCAAGAUCAUGUACAAGUUACUCCUACUCCUGAGGUUACCUUAAUGCACAGCAACAAGGACAUCCAAGUUGAAAAAGCAGUUCCAGUUAUAGAACAAGAUUCAGUUCCUCAGCAAGUGCAGCAAACUGAGCAAGCACCUUCAGCUGUAAACAUUGUUCAGAAUGAAGAAAUUUCA
Aegilops tauschii subsp. strangulata is the source of this 3736-nucleotide long non-coding RNA. RefSeq lists it as uncharacterized. Lineage: Eukaryota; Viridiplantae; Streptophyta; Magnoliopsida; Poales; Poaceae. The record is from RefSeq and is a predicted model, not a curated record.